AUGAGUUUCACAUGAGUGAAAAGUUUAAUCAUGAAACCAAAAGCAUAUCAUUUUAGGUGGAAAUAAUAAUUAAACACACACAGAAAGGACGUUUCUACAACAUUAUUUUCUAGGAUUUUCUAAGUUUUUGUAUAAUUUUAAACUAAAAUCCCUGAUCGUUGUUGUGCAAAAACUUCAAACCAGAAGUAAGAGUCUAAAAAACAACAAACUUUUUCAGGCUCAACUUCCACCUCCAGCUUUUCUGCCCUUUAACACCAUUAGGCGGCCAUCUUUACACCCACUCCACCACAUGCCCCUGCUGGAUGUAAUUGGCAAGACACUACAAAUAAAAUUCAAUUUCCAUUUAUUAUUUACAUUUGGGUUUUAAUCAAUUAUGAAUGACAGCUAAUUAGUGGCGCGCAAAGGCCAUCGCUCUGCACACUGUCAGAGUCGACUAAAGUCCUACUGUACGGCACGAAGCGCGGACGUUGACAAAAAAAACCCUCUCCGCUUUACAGAUCUGGGUGUCUUUUUUCUGAGGACACUUCACUAAUCAUUUGUGAAAGUGUGCGUGUGUGUGUGUGUCUGAGAGAGAGAGACUGUGCACGUGUUUGUUAAUAACAAGGCAAGUGAGAAUGAAGAGGAGCUAAACUGUGUAAGUCAUUUCUCAUUUUCUCUGCUUCACUGCCUGACAGAAGAAAGACCCGAGUUUUUGAGUGAUGGCGCCGACAAGUGAAAAGUGAAUAACAAGACUAGAGGCUGCGGGAAAAGAAAGGGACCAAAAAAAAUAAUCACCUGAGUCCCCACUGAGACACACUCCGACGCCCAUCUUCAUUCCCGUCGCCGUCUCCUGAGAACUACACGUAGAAGGUGUCAGCCAUAUUGACGGAGCGGGGAGUCCGCGGAGGCCCCUCAUUUUCUGACUGAACGGUCACAGAAAGAGCUAAUGAUAUAUGCUAUUGUGGAACAGAAGAGUUAUGGGAAAGGCCCAAACGUCGGCGUUCCCAAUUAUCUCGAAGGCAUUUCUUGCGCGGCGUUUUCGUCACGCAAACAAACCCAAACGCGAAUACAAAUAACAUGUGCAACGGCAGCUGCGGAGACUCAGGGACCGUCUGACAAAAUGUCAGGGAUCAGAAAGGGAGCGACUGUAGAACGUGCUUGAACAGCGAUUACACCUACACAUUUUAGUUCAGCAGAGAAAAGCCAAAAAAAAAAAAA
Molecule: long non-coding RNA, 1197 nt
Organism: Cynoglossus semilaevis (tongue sole)
Lineage: Eukaryota; Metazoa; Chordata; Actinopteri; Pleuronectiformes; Cynoglossidae
Exons: 2
Source: RefSeq, a predicted model, not a curated record